AACGAACGCUGGCGGCAUGCCUAACACAUGCAAGUCGAACGAGACCUUCGGGUCUAGUGGCGCACGGGUGCGUAACGCGUGGGAAUCUGCCCUCUGGUUCGGAACAACAGUUGGAAACGACUGCUAAUACCGGAUAAUGACUUCGGUCCAAAGAUUUAUCGCCUGAGGAUGAGCCCGCGUAGGAUUAGCUUGUUGGUGAG
Molecule: ribosomal RNA, 200 nt
Filed under: uncultured bacterium
Lineage: Bacteria
Description: partial 16S ribosomal RNA
Rfam family: Bacterial small subunit ribosomal RNA
Source: RNAcentral